AGAGUUUGAUCCUGGCUCAGAUUGAACGCUGGCGGCAGGCUUAACACAUGCAAGUCGAGCGGUAACAUUUCUAGCUUGCUAGAAGAUGACGAGCGGCGGACGGGUGAGUAAUGCUUGGGAAACUGCCUGAGAGUGGGGGACAACAGUUGGAAACGACUGCUAAUACCGCAUAAUGUCUUCGGACCAAAGGAGGGGCUCUUCGGACCUUUCGCUUUCAGAUGUGCCCAAGUGGGAUUAGCUAGAUGGUGGGGUAAUGGCCUACCAUGGCGACGAUCCCUAGCUGGUUUGAGAGGAUGAUCAGCCACACUGGGACUGAGACACGGCCCAGACUCCUACGGGAGGCAGCAGUGGGGAAUAUUGCACAAUGGGCGCAAGCCUGAUGCAGCCAUGCCGCGUGUGUGAAGAAGGCCUUCGGGUUGUAAAGCACUUUCAGUUGUGAGGAAGGUUGUGUGGUUAAUACCCACAUAAUUUGACGUUAGCAACAGAAGAAGCACCGGCUAACUCCGUGCCAGCAGCCGCGGUAAUAC
This 527-nucleotide ribosomal RNA is filed under the name Agarivorans sp. RNAcentral describes it as "bacterial SSU rRNA". It matches the Rfam family "Bacterial small subunit ribosomal RNA", at positions 8 to 526 of the family's 1533-position model. Lineage: Bacteria; Pseudomonadati; Pseudomonadota; Gammaproteobacteria; Alteromonadales; Alteromonadaceae. The record is from RNAcentral.